UUAAGUUCAGCGGGUAUCCCUACCUGAUCCGAGGUCAAGAGUGUAAAAAGUACUUUUGGACGUCGUCGUUAUGAGUGCAAAGCGCGAGAUGUACUGCGCUCCGAAAUCAAUACGCCGGCUGCCAAUUGUUUUAAGGCGAGUCUACGCGCAAGGCGAGACAAACACCCAACACAAGCAGAGCUUGAAGGUACAAAUGACGC
This 200-nucleotide unclassified non-coding RNA is filed under the name uncultured Epicoccum. RNAcentral describes it as "sequence contains ITS2". The record is from RNAcentral. Lineage: Eukaryota; Fungi; Ascomycota; Dothideomycetes; Pleosporales; Leptosphaeriaceae.